GCUUGACCUCGGAUCAGGUAGGGAUACCCGCUGAACUUAACAU
RNAcentral lists this ribosomal RNA (43 nucleotides) under Pleosporales sp. Its description in RNAcentral is "partial 28S ribosomal RNA". Lineage: Eukaryota; Fungi; Ascomycota; Dothideomycetes; Pleosporales. The record is from RNAcentral.